RNAcentral lists this ribosomal RNA (465 nucleotides) under Vreelandella stevensii. Its description in RNAcentral is "partial 16S ribosomal RNA". It matches the Rfam family "Bacterial small subunit ribosomal RNA", at positions 338 to 795 of the family's 1533-position model. The record is from RNAcentral. Lineage: Bacteria; Pseudomonadati; Pseudomonadota; Gammaproteobacteria; Oceanospirillales; Halomonadaceae.
CCUACGGGUGGCAGCAGUGGGGAAUAUUGGACAAUGGGGGGAACCCUGAUCCAGCCAUGCCGCGUGUGUGAAGAAGGCUCUCGGGUUGUAAAGCACUUUCAGUGAGGAAGAACGCCUGGUGGUUAAUACCCAUCAGGAAAGACAUCACUCACAGAAGAAGCACCGGCUAACUCCGUGCCAGCAGCCGCGGUAAUACGGAGGGUGCGAGCGUUAAUCGGAAUUACUGGGCGUAAAGCGCGCGUAGGUGGCUUGAUAAGCCGGUUGUGAAAGCCCCGGGCUCAACCUGGGAACGGCAUCCGGAACUGUCAAGCUAGAGUGCAGGAGAGGAAGGUAGAAUUCCCGGUGUAGCGGUGAAAUGCGUAGAGAUCGGGAGGAAUACCAGUGGCGAAGGCGGCCUUCUGGACUGACACUGACACUGAGGUGCGAAAGCGUGGGUAGCAAACAGGAUUAGAUACCCUGGUAGUC